Molecule: ribosomal RNA, 229 nt
Filed under: uncultured bacterium
Lineage: Bacteria
Description: partial 16S ribosomal RNA
Rfam family: Bacterial small subunit ribosomal RNA
Source: RNAcentral
GAUGUAGGCGGCUUGGUAAGUCAGAUGUGAAAGCCCAGGGCUCAACCCUGGAAGUGCAUUUGAUACUGCCAUGCUUGAGUAUGGGAGAGGAGAGCGGAAUUCCCAGUGUAGAGGUGAAAUUCGUAGAUAUUGGGAGGAACACCCGUGGCGAAGGCGGCUCUCUGGACCAAUACUGACGCUGAGACGCGAAAGCGUGGGGAGCAAACAGGAUUAGAUACCCUGGUAGUCC